Molecule: ribosomal RNA, 253 nt
Filed under: uncultured bacterium
Lineage: Bacteria
Description: partial 16S ribosomal RNA
Rfam family: Bacterial small subunit ribosomal RNA
Source: RNAcentral
UACAGAGGUCUCAAGCGUUGUUCGGAUUCAUUGGGCGUAAAGGGUGCGUAGGCGGCGCGGUAAGUCGGGUGUGAAAUCUCGGAGCUUAACUCCGAAACUGCAUUCGAUACUGCCGUGCUUGAGGACUGGAGAGGAGACUGGAAUUUACGGUGUAGCGGUGAAAUGCGUAGAUAUCAGGAGGAACACCUGUGGCGAAAGCGGCUCACUGGACCACAACUGACGCUGAGGCGCGAAAGCUAGGGGAGCAAACAGG